UUAAGUUCAGCGGGUCUUCCUACCUGAUCCGAGGUCAACCUUGGGUAAAUAAGGCUUUAUCGACCGGCACCGACCAGCACGCCCAGAGCGAGAUGUAACUACUACGCUCGGGGUGACAGCGAGCCCGCCACUGGUUUCAGGGCCUGCGGCAGCCGCAGGUCCCCAACACAAGCCGGGGGCUUGAUGGUUGAAAUGACGCU
RNAcentral lists this unclassified non-coding RNA (200 nucleotides) under Malbranchea sp. Its description in RNAcentral is "partial internal transcribed spacer 2". Lineage: Eukaryota; Fungi; Ascomycota; Eurotiomycetes; Onygenales; Malbrancheaceae. The record is from RNAcentral.